UCCCUGGUAGCUCAGACAGUAAAGCAUCUGCCUGCAAUGCUGAAGACCUGGGUUCAAUCCCUGGGUUGGGGAA
Ovis aries (sheep) is the source of this 73-nucleotide non-coding RNA. The record is from Rfam. NCBI's taxonomy places the organism in Eukaryota, Metazoa, Chordata, Mammalia, Artiodactyla, Bovidae.